GAUCCUUCCUUUGUGGAAUUUUCUAUGUGAGCCAAGAUAUUCGGAGAUCUCUCCCUACUUAUGUGAGAUUCCAGCAAAAGCAAAUCUCCAGGGCUAGAUGGGUAUGAAGAUGUCCAUUUCAGUAAAGCCUUAAAGCAGUUGAAAGCAGGAUGUAAGCUGGACUCCAUCAGGCCCCAUCUUCACUGAAGGAUAGGAAAUAUGGAUGUGAAAACAGAGAUUAUAAGAUAAUGAAGGUCUUGACUGGCUUGCAAGUCUGAUUGGCAACCAAGAAAGAUAUGAGAACCCUGAAGGGCUGUAAGAUGGGUCUUCAAUAGCAGAAAUAACAAGCAGAAACAACAACAAGAUUUGGUGACUCUGCAAAUGGAUCAUUUGGUCUUGAGAUACCAGAGAUCUAUGUGAUGUAAAUUGCUGAGAAGUAUCCUUGAAGAAAAUCUUGGGUUUAGGCAGAAAGUUUUCAUAAAACUACCUUUUCAGCUUCUUCUCUUAUUCUGUAACUGUAUGUAUGGAGACCGCUUCUUAGCAGCCUACUCUGAAGAUCACAGGUUGCUGUGAGGAGAGAGUGAAAGUUAUUUAUCAAGAACCUUUAAUUGUGGUCAUCAGUUUUCAUUAUCUUCUGAGAAAAUUACCACGCUGAAUAUAAGGUUUGGGAAGCACCAGCAUUUUCUUUGUACGUGGAAGAUGACAAAAAAUGGAAUUGCUUUAGAAUUACAUUGGUUGGUUACAUGUUUUUCUCAAAUGCUACCUUUUCUUAAUUCUCUGGGUGUUUGCAAAAAGAAAUGCGUACUUGUUUUAUUGUCAACCUACAUCUGGAUCUUUUUUCUUUUUCCUUUUUUUAAUAGAUUCUCCAAAUCAAUUUUCUUCAAGCUUUUCUCAGGAUGUGAAUAAGAGUAAAACUCUAAAUUGCUUUUCAUUUAUAUUGACAUCUUCUUUUCUCUCUCAAUGGGUGCGCUUCAGUCUCUGAAUCUAAUCUCCAGGAUUUUCAUUUGCUCUACACUUCAUUACAAAUGCUGUUCUGGUAGCCUCUGUAUUGUUUUGGAACAAGCCAAAAGUUCCUCACAAUAAUAUAAAUCACAGGGAGGUUUUCCUUGAUUUCUGAAGGCUGAUUAUCAAAACAUUAUCAGUCAACCCCAUGUCUGUAAGAUGCUUAUUUGAUUAUUUAAAGGAUACAGAAAAACAAGAAUUUUUUGAGUCGCUUUAUUCACGCUAGAUACACUCUUCAGUGAGCCAUUUUUCUUUCAAAGCUCUUACAUGCUAUCCAGAGUGUCUUUUCUGAGCCUGGGCACUGCUUUUUCUUAGUUAUGUUUACAUUUUUUUAUGGUAUUAGUAUGAAACUUGUAAUUUCUGCUUUCCUUGGAUGUAGGAAGCAAAAAAGAAAACAAAGAACAAACAAACAAAACCCCAAAAAACUAUAUUAUUUUUAUUGUUCCUCCCAUUAAAUUUAUUGUUUUAACAAGUGAGUGAUUAAUUUCAAUUUCAUAGCUAAUCCAAUUUUGACCUCAGUGCAUUAUUUGCUGAUAUGUAGUGUGAUAUAUUUUAGGAAUGUUGAUAUAUAAAAGUUGGUUUGGAUGAACUGUCCUUACAGUCCAGCAUCCUAACAGAGAUGUUUUUAUUCCUUAAAAAUCAAAGAUACAAGAAUAUUUGCUGGACAAUUAUGACAAAUCUUGCCUGCAGGAAGAAGUUUAUCUUCAUUAGUUUGUAAAAUAGCGUGUGACCAAAGACAUAGUGAUGCAUGGUUUUGCAUGUGACUUCAUUAUGUUAUAUAGUCCUAUUAUAUUAUUUUAUACUCAUCUGUUUCCCAAACUAGACAAUCUCAGUCUUAGCAAUCUCUCAUCCCAGAAAUUGUGCCAUGCUCCCUUUUUCAUCACAUUAUUCUACAUCUUCCUUAUCUCUUUUUCAAAUAGAUUGCCCAUGAUUGAGCGCAUAUUGCACCUGGGGGCACAUCACUGAUAUUAUAACACUUUCUGAAAGACAGCCUGUUCCACGAUAAUAUCUUAUUCGUUGCUUUGCUAUUUUUUUGACCACUGAACUAUGGAUCUUAAUUCCAUGGCAUUAGGAAAACAGAACCCACCCUCACUUGUUCAAAUGGAGGCUUAGGAACUACUGUAUCAUCUUACAGAGAAUUCAACAUUUACUCUGUGAUUGUAUUGCCUGUUUGACUCCGUAGCAUUCCUUGUCCUUUCCUUUACCUUAGGAUUAAUAAUAUUUUGCAACGUGCUGCUUUGUUCUUCAUUUCAGAAGUACAUGUCAUUAAUAUAAAAUAGCACCUGUUUCCAAACUGUUUGUUAAAGGAGAUGGUCAGUGUGGGCAGCAUUACCACAGGAAUUUGUGAUUCAACAUUGCCCAUCCUAAAUUGACUUUGCAUUGAGCAGUUCAGGUGUGAAAACCAUAUUCUACCCAGACACACAGCAGCUCGCCAGAACCUGUUAACCUGGUGAAGCACUUGUAUGCCUGGGGCAAUUGCCUGGAGAUGUCUGAAGGUGUAGAUGACAGUGUCAGCCAGAGCAUCUGCUUUUCAUGUUGCUGUGAGAAGGGACUGCUGGCAUGCUGACAACCCAGGAAGGACAGCAUUCUUUUUUAUUUCUUUUAGUUCAGUGUCUGAUAUGACAUAUCCACUUUGAUUCGUAACUUUUCAAUGCUGCUACAAAGCAUGUUCUGUCUCUUCUAUCACUUCAAUCACUUUUUGAGUGUGAAAACAAUCAAUUUUUAAUGAAAGUAAACAUUUUUGUUUUGCAAGAAAAUGUAAGAGCAAAAUUAUUUAUUCCCAUGCUUCUUAAAAGAAAAUUCUGUGUGUGUUUCUUUAUAUGUGUAAGAAUUCCAGUGUUUGCCUUAUUCAUCUUAAUUUUUGUUUCAAAGAAGUAAAAUCAUGCUAUUUUUUUAGGGACUAUAUAUGUUAAGGUUUUUGCAAUGCUGCAAUGAAUGCUGUUAACAAAAGCCAACAAUGGUCUGAGUUUCUAGGAAAUGUAUUUUCAUCUCCAUGCGUGGUUGCUCAAUACUAGGUAUUUUCCACUUGUUACUACUAUUCAUCCUAAAGAUAGUUCUGUUAGUUUUGACAUCUCAUUCUUGUAAGUGCAAUUCUGAGUCAAUGGGUCUUAACAUCCUAUGGAAUGAUAUGGAGCGGUUUGACAUACUUGCCGAUUUCUGCAGUCAAGCUUAAGAGACACCCUUCAGUCAUGCAUUUUCUUGGAUGUCAGAAAUGAACACCUAGCUUUGACAUCCAUGUCUGUGAAAGAAGAGAACAGUUUGCACUGGCUCACAGAACUAAAAUUCUGCCUUUGUGUUUAGUGGAUUUCAUUUACAGACACUGUUUGUCAUGCUGAAAGAUCUCAAUUCUAAAUUCCUCAAAAGGAGUAGAGUAGGUAAUUUUGCUUUGUAGAUCAAGGGUAAAAAAAUAAAGAAAAAAAAAUCUAUAUCAAGAA
This is a non-coding RNA of Coturnix japonica (Japanese quail), 3416 nucleotides long. NCBI's taxonomy places the organism in Eukaryota, Metazoa, Chordata, Aves, Galliformes, Phasianidae. The record is from RefSeq and is a predicted model, not a curated record.